Molecule: ribosomal RNA, 236 nt
Filed under: Clostridioides difficile
Lineage: Bacteria; Bacillati; Bacillota; Clostridia; Peptostreptococcales; Peptostreptococcaceae
Description: partial 16S ribosomal RNA
Rfam family: Bacterial small subunit ribosomal RNA
Source: RNAcentral
GAAACUCGCCUACAUGAAGCUGGAGUUACUAGUAAUCGCAGAUCAGAAUGCUGCGGUGAAUGCGUUCCCGGGUCUUGUACACACCGCCCGUCACACCACGGGAGUUGGAGACGCCCGAAGCCGAUUAUCUAACCUUUUGGAAGAAGGCGUCGAAGGUGGAAUCAAUAACUGGGGUGAAGUCGUAACAAGGUAGCCGUAUCGGAAGGUGCGGCUGGAUCACCUCCUUUCUAAGGAGA